Molecule: long non-coding RNA, 532 nt
Filed under: Anas platyrhynchos platyrhynchos (common mallard)
Lineage: Eukaryota; Metazoa; Chordata; Aves; Anseriformes; Anatidae
Description: lncRNA (ENSAPLG00000029884.1)
Source: RNAcentral
AUGUAUCAGUUCUGGGCGUAUAUACCCAUUUGCCAUUUUGCAUGCUUGUCUCUGCAGAGGUCUGGGCCUAAUGAAUGCCGAGGGAAAUGUUCUAAAUGCUGCUUUUCAGGUAUCACUUCUUUAGAGAAGACAACCAAUUUUGCUGUUUACUUUGUUGCCAUGUCUCAGAACUUCCUUCUCCUCCUGACUGUGAUCCUUACUGUGACCUGCAAAUUGAGGAAGCAGACUUUAGCAACAAAGAUGGAAACACCUCAGAGGAAUAUGUCUGAAGCCUAAUGAGCAGGAAUAUCUUUCAAAUUCACCAAGAAAAGCGGGAUCCUUUCUUCUGAAAAAUGGAUGAACAAAAACCUAAUCUCUCCCCUUUUAUAUAGCAAUAAUUCUGCAGUGUCUGAUUAAGAAGUUUUUUGUUUCUUUCUAGUUCACUAAGUGUCUACUUUCUGUUUUUAAGAGGUUAACGUGACAGCAGUAAAAUCAACUGCCUCUUUAUAUGUAUCUUGGUCUGACCAAAUAAAAGAUGUUAGGAAUGGUCUCA